ACGGAGGGUGCAAGCGUUGUCCGGAAUCACUGGGCGUAAAGGGCGCGUAGGCGGCCUGAUAAGUCGGGGGUGAAAUCCUGCGGCUCAACCGCAGGGCUGCCUCCGAGACUGUCGGGCUGGAGCACGGUAGAGGCAGAUGGAAUUCCCGGUGUAGCGGUGGAAUGCGUAGAGAUCGGGAAGAACAUCAGUGGCGAAGGCGGUCUGCUGGGCCGUUGCUGACGCUGAGGCGCGACAGCGUGGGGAGCAAACAGGAUUAGAUACCCUGGUAGUCCACGCCGUAAACGAUGGGUACUAGGCGUCGGGGGGAGCGACCCUCCCGGUGCCGUCGCUAACGCAGUAAGUACCCCGCCUGGGGAGUACGGCCGCAAGGCUG
Molecule: ribosomal RNA, 373 nt
Filed under: uncultured bacterium
Lineage: Bacteria
Description: bacterial SSU rRNA
Rfam family: Bacterial small subunit ribosomal RNA
Source: RNAcentral